CUCAAACAAAUCAACUAUCAAUAACCAACGUCAAUUUGCUAAUGAUUAUAGAGUCUAACUUAUGAUUUUAAGGCUUAACCAACCGACCCUUAAAUUGAAUAACAGAAAUGUAAAGUACAACCUUUACGGACAGUUCUUCCGAUCAACGAUUACAAAUCGGAGAGAGUGAUGUCAGUAGAGAUCAAACUAUCCAGAUCAAACAGAAUCUAUCAUCCAGAAGAAUCAAUUGAAGGUAAAAUCAUCACAAAGCUUUCAUCUUCUAUAUCCCAUUAUGGAAUUCGUCUUACUAUCAAUGGAUCAGUCAAUUUACAGGUUCGUGGAGGGUCUGCUGGGGUUAUUGAAUCUGUUGUUGGUGUCCUUAAGCCCAUUAUUAUUGUGAAGAAGAGUGUUGAAGUUAGAUCUUCUGGGAAGAUUAGCUCAGGCACUACUGAGAUACCUUUUUCAUUGACUUUAAGACAACCUGAAGAGAACAAAUCUGGAAAAUUUUAUGAAACCUUCCAUGGAACAGACAUAGGCAUACAGUAUCUGCUUACCGCUGAGAUAGCACGAGGUUAUCUACACAAGUCAUUAUCAGCAACACUUGAGUUUAUCAUCGAGAGUGAAAAAGCUGACCUUCUUGAGCUGCCAAUUUCGCCUGAACUCGUCAUUUUCUAUAUCACGCAGGAUACACAGAGGCAUCCAUUGCUUCCUGAAUUAAAAUCAGGUGGUUUCCGUGUAAGUGGAAGAAUCCCGACUCAAUGUUCAUUAUCAUGCGCCCUUCAAGGGGAGCUGACUGUAGAAGCAUCCGCAUCGCCAAUUCAGUCGAUUGAUAUCCACUUACUACGUGUCGAAUCCAUUCUUGUCGGAGAUAAGAUUGUGUUGGAAACAUCUUUGAUUCAAACUACUCAGAUAGCAGAUGGAGAUGUUUGUCGAGGCCUGACUUUACCUAUUUAUGUUCUGCUUCCACGACUCUUAACUUGUCCGACUGUCUUUGCUGGGCCAUUCUCAAUCGAGUUCAAAGUCUCUAUCGUGGUGACAUUUCAGUCGGAGCUUAGCAAACUGCACCCGAAUCCUGAUCCUAGAACACCAAGACUAUGGCUUGCGAUGGAGACAUUGCCACUUGAACUCAUUCGAACCAGAUAAAAUCACCAUGGUCAUGAAUUGAUAGACUUGGAUCGGGGAUUUCUUUUCUAUCCUUCACUGGAUUCGCAUGGAGGAUGAUUGUUAGGGCAAAAAGUAUUCCAAAUUUCUUCUCUCGGGUGCACUGCUCGUGUCCCCAGAACUUGUCCUCCCAACCGGCCUGCAAUCAUCACCGCCACAAAUAAACUCCGGUCCACUUCCGGAGAUCUAGGACUAGCAGAUUUAGGAAUGCUACUGGAGCUACUGUUGCCGCUAGUGCUGAUUUCUGGUUUGGGUGUAAGCCCAAAGAUAUUCAGGAAUGUAUAUAUUUUUACACUUUCUGAGGAUUUCAAGAUUAAGGUAAAUUUAGGGGAUUAAUUACCCUCAUAGAAUACUUAACUCUAACUUAACCCAGAAAGAGGAUUAGGAACCGUUCUGCGUCUGUAUUUUUCACCUUUUUGUUACUGUUAGAAAAUAUGGUUGAAACUCUCCACAAUACUAAGAAAAUAGAAAAA
RNA transcript from Amaranthus tricolor (Joseph's coat), 1613 nucleotides. RefSeq lists it as uncharacterized. The transcript has 12 exons. Lineage: Eukaryota; Viridiplantae; Streptophyta; Magnoliopsida; Caryophyllales; Amaranthaceae. The record is from RefSeq and is a predicted model, not a curated record.